UGCUGCACGGCCCAUGUUUGCAGGGAAAACCAACCGGGUUCGUCACAGAGAGCGUCAAGCGUGACUCGCCGCAGGGAAGCAGCUAGGCAGGGAACAACCUGGAGAGGACAGUGACUGGGUGCACUGCUAUUUUUGCUGCUCUACCUUCAUAUUUCUUUUCUUUUUUCUCUUCUUUGGCUCAGGAGAUGAUCUAACAUGUGGCUCACAGCUGACUCUCGUAGGGGCUCAGAUAAACGAGGAGAAGACAAAUACCACCUGGGCACGUUUACACCAUUCUGUGUGGAUAGCGGAUGGAGCCAGACAGACUUUCCUCCGCCCUCUUUAUUUAUAGAAGGCCUCACGCACUUUCCAACAGGAGGAGAGAGGGUGGGAAGGGCACUGGGAUGCUGUGUUCAGGGGGAGGAAACGGUACGUAUGGGCAAAGGGGUUCUGGUAAACCGCUGAGGAUGGGCAUGGUCACUGGAGCCUGCCACCUCUCUCUUCCAAAAGCCCUUGGUGGGUGCGGCCCCAUCAAGUGAUAAUAACAGGAAACACAACAUCUACACGGAGCCAGGCACUCUUCUAAGUGCAGAACGUAGCAAUCUUUUGAGGUAGGUGUGCUAUUAUUCCCGUUUUACAGAUAAGGAAAGCGAGUCACAGGGAGAUUAAGGAACCUGCCCAGAUUGAUCCAGGUGUAAGUGGCAGAACCGGGACUACAGACCCAGGCAGUCUGGCUCCAGAGCCUGUUAGUAACCACCCUUCUCCAUUGAUUUUCAAAGGCCAUCUGGCUCAGGCUCUUCCUAACUUACUCACUCCUGAACCACCUUCAGGAUCUUUGCAAAACCCGUGUCCCACCUUUAAUGUUAUUGACUUGACGUUUUUCUUCUCAUAAUUCACGGGUUUAGUUAAAUACAUGUGUCUUGAAUGAAAUCUUGGUAUUCCUCUGAGAGAUGAAAAAUCAGCAUCAUUUGCCAUACAAAAGAGAAAGGAAAUGUCAAAAUAAAUUCAGUGAAAACAAUGUUACUAAAUUUUAGCCAGGUACUGCUGCCCCCAAGUCCAGAGCCCCCAGGGCCCAAGUUGAGGACUGAAAAGAGCAGAGGAAGGGGAAUCACACUCACGGGACCUGCCCCAGGGAUACGCCGUGUUCCCUCCAGGGCACUGAAGCCGCCUUGCUUGCCCCCUGCACUUGGAGAAAGCGGGUUCAGGACAAUGCUCCUUCUCACCCCCGAGGAGGAGAUGGAAGCUCAGGGAAGGGAACGGCUAUGCCCGAGACCAGCACCCGGGACCCCGGACUCCUGAGCGUGUGGCCCUCUACACUCAUCUCUAGGCACAUUUUCACACACCUCGCAUCUACCAAGUUAAUUCCUGAGUUAAUUCGUGUAGUUUACAUGUAGACGGUGGCUCUGCCACCAAAAUUUGUCCUCCAGUUCUCGUGUUUCUGAAGUAAUUCCAAACCUUGACUGACUUGGCUAUUCUGGAGGGAGCCCCGGGUCACAUGGGAAUUUGGAAUCAGGACCUCUAGAUCCAGGGGGUCUGCUGCCACUGUGGUGGGAGUCAUUUAACUUCCUUCCAUCCGCCAACCCAUCUAUACGUUGAGGCUAACAGCACUUUCUCUAUGGACCUCGGAGGGUUGUGGUUAGGUUGCAAGCGAGGUCACGAAUUGGGAGAUGCUCUGGGGGCAAACACGGCCCUGAACGUGCACGCUAGUGGUCACCCCCAGCCCUCACUCAUCUGGCAUCUGCAAACGAUGAGAACCAUGAAGAAGGGGACGGGCAUUUGAACGGACAAAAGAGAUACCACAGUUGACUCAUGAAUCUGUAGGACAUCUACCAAUCCUGCUGCCCAAUGUGCCAGGUGCUGGCUGGGUAUGAAAGAAUUGGGACAGGCUACCACGUGGCCUGGACGUGAAGAGAUUCAGCGUAAAAGGCAAGUAACACACAGUGUAUGAAAGAGUUGGGAUCCCUCGUGGUCCAAACCCUCAGCCUUCUUUAGGCCCACGACCAGCAGGUUGGGUCAUCUGUUUUCCCAAAUGACACAACUUCAGAGCUAACAGAUGACAAGGCAGCAGGGCUAUUUCCGGGGGCGAAACUGCCUUGCUGAAGAAGAGGGGCUGACUUGGAGGAAAAAGGUAAGAAAAUGAAGCAUUUGUGCAUCAAAGUCUGCGGUUGCUUGGUGGAGGAGCGCAAACCCUACAAACUUCACAGACCGUGAGAUUUGUUGUUUUGUAGGAUAUAGUAAUGCAUAGCCAGUAUUCAUAAGAACCUCCUGAAUCAAGGGCUUUGCAUUUUCUUAUCCCCUCUGCCUGGAAUGCCCUUCCCCAGACCUCUGCUGGCCUGACUCCUCACCUGCUUCAGGUCUCCGCUCCAAUGUCCCCAACCUCAGCGAGGCCCACUCUGACCACCCUGUUCUCAAUUACGUCCCAUCCCAGCUUCUGGGACUUUCCUCUAUUUGUUUCUGUAGUACUUACCACCUUUGGACAUAAUAUUUGUCAUCUCUCAUCUAUCUAUCUCUCAUCUAUCUAUAUCUAUCUACCUAUCUAUCACCUAUCUGCCAUCUGUCUUUCAUUGAUUAUGUCUUUUGUGUGACUCCACCUCUGGAAUAUAACUUGCAUGGGUGCAAGUUUUUUUUUCAGAGCUUGUGGCCUGAGCAGUAAGUAGACACCUAAUACAUGUCGUCGGUAGACCUCCAAGUCUGAGUUAUCAAGGAAAGGUCAAAUUGUAGUUCAUAUAUUUUGAAAAUAGGGCUCUUGUUAUGUGCUUUCACCCUCGUCACCUGCUACAUUAUAAAGGUGUCUGAGGGUGCAUCACUUCCGGUCCUGACCCACUGGUCCUCACAGCCCGCAGCAAGCCCGGGUGGGCACACAGGAACCACAGUCCUUCUCUACCCAGCCUCCUCUCGCGGACUUCCCCUGAGGACUUCCCAUGGAAGAGCUUCGACAGAGAAACAGGUUUUCUUUAUUUUUAUUUUUUUGCCAUCUGCCCAAUUUUCUUCCAAAUUUCCAUAUUUCUUCCUAUUCUUUAGAAGUCAUUUAGAAGAUAUGUAAGCAGGAUCCCAAUGGUAUGACUGACAUCAAGAGCAAAGACAAUAAAUACAGUUCUCCUGACUUCCUGCAAUCUUCAUGGAAAUGAGAAUGGAAUUGAACGUGUGUAGAACUGCCAGCUUUAUUGCAACCCCAGCGAAAUGAAGUCUGUGUCUCUCUUGCAACUCAAAGAUCAAUCUCUCAGGUGGAAGAUAAUUACAGAUCGUGAUUUAAAAUGCACCAGCUGGGUCUCCUGGAGGCCGAGAACCUCAUCAGCAAGGGCUGGAGGACUGCUGUGCCCUUCCAGCCCUCUUUGCCCUGAUGGCAAAUCAAGAAAUUCACCCGUGAGGCACCUGAUCAGAAUAUCCUUCUAGAAGCUUGGCUCUACCAGUUGUGGGAGAUUGGCACUGUGGACAGUCACCAGUCCCUUCCUCAAGAGCAUUCUGAAGGUGGGACAUCAAGAAGGGAAAUGCUUUACCCCAGGUCUCACUGUAUUUACUUAGCAGUGGAGCCUGGAUUCAAAUCAAGAUCCUGUUCUUUCCAAUCCCAAGCUCUUUCCACUUAAUAUUGUAUUUCUGUUAAUAUCAUUUAAACCAGCUCAAGUUGGGUAGGUCGAAGAAUAAUGGGCUGAUGGCUGAAGAUGAACUCUCUGUCCUCUGCAUCCAGUACCAACCUCUGAAAAGGGAGAUGUUUGCAGAUCUUCACCUGCUGCUGAACACUCAGUGUUAAUUUUUUCUUGCCCCACGCAUCCAGUGAACAUUGGCUGCGUCCCCACUUGACCCCAGGGCUCCGGGACUGUUGGCCGUUAUGGAUUUCUUCAAGUAUGUAGGUAGGCCCAGUUCUCUAGUCUUCAGGUUUUUAGUGUUUGUGUUUGGACAGCACGUGAGAGGAAGCUGAUGGGAUAUUUACCCAAAGACAAGACACUUUUCAAACUAAGAUGCUGCUAGAAGCUCUACCAAGCCUGGACCUCCAUGGACACUGGCGACAGGACCAGAGCAUUUCAGUUGUCCAAUGGCCACUCCCUGCUAUGUCCCGUUCAGGGAGAGGAUAGUCAAAUGAGGGACUAUGGGAUGGGGCCUGGCUGUCCCGGGGACCAUGCCUGGGGGUGUUUGUGCCCCAGUCGGGCUCUCAGCUGGCUGUUGGUGCCAGCAGGUUGGAGUUUGCAAGACUGAGAAGUGAUCCAAGUUUCUGUUUGAGGCCUCCCUCUGUGGGCUUUCUCAGAGCUCACUGGGGUCCCCAUAACUGGCUGCCUGGCCAUACUCCCGUUCUUUGUGGCCUGGCGCUCUUGGGCUGUGCAAAUACCACAUAGGAUGGUUGAAAGAAAGAGCUCUGGACUAUGACAAACCCAGGUUUGAUUCCUAGCCACUUCAUUGCUGUGUGACCUUGGACACGUUACUUAACCUUUCUGCAUCUUAGCUUUCUCAUCUGUAAAAUAAAGCUAAUAUUGCUGAUCUGAUAAGGAUUAUGUGAGAUCAUGUAUAUAAAGUACUCAGUGCCUGGCACAUAAUAAGUGCUCAGUAAAUGGCAGAUUAUUAUUUUUAUUAGCUGUGUAUUUUGAAUAUACAGCUUAAAGAACAUUAGGCUUAAUAUUGUAUAAAGCGUACAGACACUUGCUACAGCAAGGAUGAAACUUGAGAACAUUAUGUUAAGUGAAAGACAUCAGACACCAAAGGCCACACAUUGUAUGAUUCCUUGAAUAUAAAAUGUCCAGAAUAAGUGAAUCUAUAGAGACAAAAAGUAGAUUAGAGGUUUGCAGAGGCUAGGGGGAGAGGCAAGUGGGAAGUGACUGCUUAAUGGGUAGGGGUUUCCUUUUUGGGUGGAUGAAAAUGUUCUGCAACUAGACAGUGGUGAUGGUUGCACUAUAUUGUGAAUGUACUAAAUGCCACUCAAUUCUUUGAAAUGGUUAAAAUGGUAAAUGGUAUGCAUAUUUUCCCACAAUUAAAAAAAUCGUGUA
Mirounga angustirostris (Northern elephant seal) is the source of this 4952-nucleotide long non-coding RNA. RefSeq lists it as uncharacterized. The transcript is spliced from 3 exons. NCBI's taxonomy places the organism in Eukaryota, Metazoa, Chordata, Mammalia, Carnivora, Phocidae. The record is from RefSeq and is a predicted model, not a curated record.